Molecule: ribosomal RNA, 432 nt
Filed under: uncultured bacterium
Lineage: Bacteria
Description: bacterial SSU rRNA
Rfam family: Bacterial small subunit ribosomal RNA
Source: RNAcentral
GUUUGAUCCUGGCUCAGAACGAACGCUGGCGGCGUGCUUAACACAUGCAAGUCGAACGCGAAAGGGACUUCGGUCCUGAGUAAAAGUGGCGCACGGGUGAGUAACGCGUAGAUAACCUAUCUUCGUGUCUGGAAUAAUACGCCGAAAGGGGUACUAAUACCGGAUAUUCUUGUUUUAUAUAAGUAUGGCAAGCAAAGGUGGCCUCUGAUUUAAGCUACUGCAUGAAGAGGGGUCUGCGUACCAUUAGCUAGUAGGUGGGGUAAUGGCCCACCUAGGCGACGAUGGUUAGCGGGUCUGAGAGGAUGAUCCGCCACACUGGCACUGGAACACGGGCCAGACUCCUACGGGAGGCAGCAGUGAGGAAUAUUGCGCAAUGGGGGGCAACCCUGACGCAGCGACGCCGCGUGAGUGAGGAAGGCCUCGGUCGUAAGC